RNAcentral lists this ribosomal RNA (387 nucleotides) under uncultured bacterium. RNAcentral describes it as "bacterial SSU rRNA". It matches the Rfam family "Bacterial small subunit ribosomal RNA", at positions 29 to 417 of the family's 1533-position model. The record is from RNAcentral.
AUUGAACGCCGGCGGCAUGCUUUACACAUGCAAGUCGAACGGCAGCGCGGGGGCAACCCUGGCGGCGAGUGGCGAACGGGUGAGUAAUGCAUCGGAACGUAUCCUGUAAUGGGGGAUAACGUAGCGAAAGUUACGCUAAUACCGCAUACGCUCGAGAGAGGAAAGUGGGGGAUCGCAAGACCUUACGUUAUAGGAGCGGCCGAUGUCCGAUUAGCUAGUUGGUGGGGUAAAGGCCUACCAAGGCGACGAUCGGUAGCUGGUCUGAGAGGAUGAUCAGCCACACUGGGACUGAGACACGGCCCAGACUCCUACGGGAGGCAGCAGUGGGGAAUUUUGGACAAUGGGCGAAAGCCUGAUCCAGCCAUGCCGCGUGCGGGAAGAAGGCCU